RNAcentral lists this ribosomal RNA (396 nucleotides) under uncultured bacterium. Its description in RNAcentral is "partial 16S ribosomal RNA". It matches the Rfam family "Bacterial small subunit ribosomal RNA", at positions 523 to 917 of the family's 1533-position model. The record is from RNAcentral.
AUACGUAGGGGGCGAGCGUUGUCCGGAAUGAUUGGGCGUAAAGGGCGCGUAGGCGGCGCGGUAAGUCUGGAGUGAAAGUCCUGCUUUCAAGGUGGGAAUUGCUUUGGAUACUGCCGCGCUUGAGUGCAGGAGAGGUUAUCGGAAUUCCCGGUGUAGCGGUGAAAUGCGUAGAGAUCGGGAGGAACACCAGUGGCGAAGGCGGGUAACUGGACUGCAACUGACGUUGAGGCGCGAAAGUGUGGGGAGCAAACAGGAUUAGAUACCCUGGUAGUCCACACUGUAAACGAUGAAUGCUAGGUGUAGGGGGUAUCGACCCCUUCUGUGCCGCAGUCAACACAAUAAGCAUUCCGCCUGGGGAGUACGGCCGCAAGGUUGAAACUCAAAUGAAUUGGCGGG